AGCAGUCGCCGCGGGAAUACAGAGGGUGCAAGCGUUAAUCGGAAUUACUGGGCGUAAAGCGCGCGUAGGUGGUUUGUUAAGUUGGAUGUGAAAUCCCCGGGCUCAACCUGGGAACUGCAUCCAAAACUGGCAAGCUAGAGUAUGGUAGAGGGUGGUGGAAUUUCCUGUGUAGCGGUGAAAUGCGUAGAUAUAGGAAGGAACACCAGUGGCGAAGGCGACCACCUGGACUGAUACUGACACUGAGGUGCGAAAGCGUGGGGAGCAAACAGGAUUAGAUACCCGCGUAGUCCCUGUCUCUUAUAC
This 303-nucleotide ribosomal RNA is filed under the name uncultured bacterium. RNAcentral describes it as "partial 16S ribosomal RNA". It matches the Rfam family "Bacterial small subunit ribosomal RNA", at positions 507 to 807 of the family's 1533-position model. The record is from RNAcentral.